AUUGAACGCUGGCGGCAUGCUUUACACAUGCAAGUCGAACGGCAGCGCGGGCUUCGGCCUGGCUGCGCGUGGCGCACGGGUGUGUAAUACACCGGAAUGUGCUCCGCUGUGGGGGAUAGCAAGGCGAAGGCCGGGUUACUAAUGCAUACGACCUGCGGGUGAAAGAGGGGGAUCUUUGGACCUCGUGCUCUUGGAGCGGCCGAUGGGAGAGUUGCUAGUUGGUGGGGUGAAGACCUACUAAGGCGGCGAUCGGUAGCUGGCCUGAGAGGACGACCGGCCACACUGGGACGGGGACACGGCCCAGGCGACUGCGAGAGGCAGCAGUGGGGAAUGGUGGGCAAUGGGCGGAAGCCUUGUCCAGCAAUGCCGCGUGUGUGAUGAAGGCCUUCGGGUUGGAAAGCACGUUUGGCGGUAGCGAAAAGCACUGGGCCAAUACCACGGGUGGAUGACGGUACCCGCAAAAUAAGCACCGGCUAACUACGUG
This 484-nucleotide ribosomal RNA is filed under the name uncultured bacterium. RNAcentral's name for it is "partial 16S ribosomal RNA". It matches the Rfam family "Bacterial small subunit ribosomal RNA", at positions 28 to 507 of the family's 1533-position model. The record is from RNAcentral.